This 252-nucleotide transfer RNA is filed under the name Methanosphaerula palustris. RNAcentral describes it as "16S-23S ribosomal RNA intergenic spacer". The stretch from base 63 to 135 matches the Rfam family "tRNA". The record is from RNAcentral. Lineage: Archaea; Methanobacteriati; Methanobacteriota; Methanomicrobia; Methanomicrobiales; Methanoregulaceae.
AAUGAAUUUGGGAUGGCAGUUGCUGAACAGAACACAAAAUAGCCAGUGUCAAUUAAAGCAGAGGGCUCAUAGCUCAGUUGGAAGAGCGCCACCCUUGUGGGGUGGAGGCCAUAGGUUCAAAUCCUAUUGAGUCCACUUUCGAUGCACCUGGAGAUGUGAAUCAUCAGGGAAGGGCUGAAGGUUAAUGACCUGACGAUGCCGUGUAAUGGUUUAGCACUCUGGACGUUAAAUGGGUUCAACAUCAAAGAGUAC